GGGUUGUGAGGUUAAGCGACUAAGCGUACACGGUGGAUGCCCUGGCAGUCAGAGGCGAUGAAGGACGUGCUAAUCUGCGAUAAGCGUCGGUAAGGUGAUAUGAACCGUUAUAACCGGCGAUUUCCGAAUGGGGAAACCCAGUGUGAUUCGUCACACUAUCAUUAACUGAAUCCAUAGGUUAAUGAGGCGAACCGGGGGAACUGAAACAUCUAAGUACCCCGAGGAAAAGAAAUCAACCGAGAUUCCCCCAGUAGCGGCGAGCGAACGGGGAGCAGCCCAGAGCCUGAAUCAGUAUGUGUGUUAGUGGAAGCGUCUGGAAAGGCGCGCGAUACAGGGUGACAGCCCCGUACACAAAAAUGCACAUGCUGUGAGCUCGAUGAGUAGGGCGGGACACGUGGUAUCCUGUCUGAAUAUGGGGGGACCAUCCUCCAAGGCUAAAUACUCCUGACUGACCGAUAGUGAACCAGUACCGUGAGGGAAAGGCGAAAAGAACCCCGGCGAGGGGAGUGAAAAAGAACCUGAAACCGUGUACGUACAAGCAGUGGGAGCACGCUUAGGCGUGUGACUGCGUACCUUUUGUAUAAUGGGUCAGCGACUUAUAUUCUGUAGCAAGGUUAACCGAAUAGGGGAGCCGAAGGGAAACCGAGUCUUAACUGGGCGUUAAGUUGCAGGGUAUAGACCCGAAACCCGGUGAUCUAGCCAUGGGCAGGUUGAAGGUUGGGUAACACUAACUGGAGGACCGAACCGACUAAUGUUGAAAAAUUAGCGGAUGACUUGUGGCUGGGGGUGAAAGGCCAAUCAAACCGGGAGAUAGCUGGUUCUCCCCGAAAGCUAUUUAGGUAGCGCCUCGUGAAUUCAUCUCCGGGGGUAGAGCACUGUUUCGGCAAGGGGGUCAUCCCGACUUACCAACCCGAUGCAAACUGCGAAUACCGGAGAAUGUUAUCACGGGAGACACACGGCGGGUGCUAACGUCCGUCGUGAAGAGGGAAACAACCCAGACCGCCAGCUAAGGUCCCAAAGUCAUGGUUAAGUGGGAAACGAUGUGGGAAGGCCCAGACAGCCAGGAUGUUGGCUUAGAAGCAGCCAUCAUUUAAAGAAAGCGUAAUAGCUCACUGGUCGAGUCGGCCUGCGCGGAAGAUGUAACGGGGCUAAACCAUGCACCGAAGCUGCGGCAGCGACGCUGAUGCGUUGUUGGGUAGGGGAGCGUUCUGUAAGCCUGUGAAGGUGUGCUGUGAGGCAUGCUGGAGGUAUCAGAAGUGCGAAUGCUGACAUAAGUAACGAUAAAGCGGGUGAAAAGCCCGCUCGCCGGAAGACCAAGGGUUCCUGUCCAACGUUAAUCGGGGCAGGGUGAGUCGACCCCUAAGGCGAGGCCGAAAGGCGUAGUCGAUGGGAAACAGGUUAAUAUUCCUGUACUUGGUGUUACUGCGAAGGGGGGACGGAGAAGGCUAUGUUGGCCGGGCGACGGUUGUCCCGGUUUAAGCGUGUAGGCUGGUUUUCCAGGCAAAUCCGGAAAACUAAGGCUGAGGCGUGAUGACGAGGCACUACGGUGCUGAAGCAACAAAUGCCCUGCUUUCAGGAAAAGCCUCUAAGCAUCAGGUAACAUCAAAUCGUACCCCAAACCGACACAGGUGGUCAGGUAGAGAAUACCAAGGCGCUUGAGAGAACUCGGGUGAAGGAACUAGGCAAAAUGGUGCCGUAACUUCGGGAGAAGGCACGCUGAUAUGUAGGUGAAGUCCCUCGCGGAUGGAGCUGAAAUCAGUCGAAGAUACCAGCUGGCUGCAACUGUUUAUUAAAAACACAGCACUGUGCAAACACGAAAGUGGACGUAUACGGUGUGACGCCUGCCCGGUGCCGGAAGGUUAAUUGAUGGGGUCAGCGCAAGCGAAGCUCUUGAUCGAAGCCCCGGUAAACGGCGGCCGUAACUAUAACGGUCCUAAGGUAGCGAAAUUCCUUGUCGGGUAAGUUCCGACCUGCACGAAUGGCGUAAUGAUGGCCAGGCUGUCUCCACCCGAGACUCAGUGAAAUUGAACUCGCUGUGAAGAUGCAGUGUACCCGCGGCAAGACGGAAAGACCCCGUGAACCUUUACUAUAGCUUGACACUGAACAUUGAGCCUUGAUGUGUAGGAUAGGUGGGAGGCUUUGAAGUGUGGACGCCAGUCUGCAUGGAGCCGACCUUGAAAUACCACCCUUUAAUGUUUGAUGUUCUAACGUUGACCCGUAAUCCGGGUUGCGGACAGUGUCUGGUGGGUAGUUUGACUGGGGCGGUCUCCUCCUAAAGAGUAACGGAGGAGCACGAAGGUUGGCUAAUCCUGGUCGGACAUCAGGAGGUUAGUGCAAUGGCAUAAGCCAGCUUGACUGCGAGCGUGACGGCGCGAGCAGGUGCGAAAGCAGGUCAUAGUGAUCCGGUGGUUCUGAAUGGAAGGGCCAUCGCUCAACGGAUAAAAGGUACUCCGGGGAUAACAGGCUGAUACCGCCCAAGAGUUCAUAUCGACGGCGGUGUUUGGCACCUCGAUGUCGGCUCAUCACAUCCUGGGGCUGAAGUAGGUCCCAAGGGUAUGGCUGUUCGCCAUUUAAAGUGGUACGCGAGCUGGGUUUAGAACGUCGUGAGACAGUUCGGUCCCUAUCUGCCGUGGGCGCUGGAGAACUGAGGGGGGCUGCUCCUAGUACGAGAGGACCGGAGUGGACGCAUCACUGGUGUUCGGGUUGUCAUGCCAAUGGCACUGCCCGGUAGCUAAAUGCGGAAGAGAUAAGUGCUGAAAGCAUCUAAGCACGAAACUUGCCCCGAGAUGAGUUCUCCCUGACUCCUUGAGAGUCCUGAAGGAACGUUGAAGACGACGACGUUGAUAGGCCGGGUGUGUAAGCGCAGCGAUGCGUUGAGCUAACCGGUACUAAUGAACCGUGAGGCUUAACCUUACAACGCCGAAGCUGUU
RNAcentral lists this ribosomal RNA (2930 nucleotides) under Escherichia coli. RNAcentral describes it as "bacterial LSU rRNA". It matches the Rfam family "Bacterial large subunit ribosomal RNA". The record is from RNAcentral. Lineage: Bacteria; Pseudomonadati; Pseudomonadota; Gammaproteobacteria; Enterobacterales; Enterobacteriaceae.